GACGAACGCUGGCGGCGUGCUUAACACAUGCAAGUCGAACGGUGAAGCUCCAGCUUGCUGGAGUAGAUCAGUGGCGAACGGGUGAGUAACACGUGAGCAACCUGCCCCUGACUCUGGAAUAAGCGCUGGAAACGGCGUCUAAUACUGGAUACGAGAAGGGUCCGCAUGGGCACUUUCUGGAAAGUUUUUCGGUUGGGGAUGGGCUCGCGGCCUAUCAGCUUGUUGGUGAGGUAAUGGCUCACCAAGGCGACGACGGGUAGCCGGCCUGAGAGGGCGACCGGCCACACUGGGACUGAGACACGGCCCAGACUCCUACGGGAGGCAGCAGUGGGGAAUAUUGCACAAUGGGCGAAAGCCUGAUGCAGCGACGCCGCGUGAGGGAUGACGGCCUUCGGGUUGUAAACCUCUUUCAGCAGGGAAGAAGCGAAAGUGACGGUACCUGCAGAAGAAGCACCGGCUAACUACGUG
This 468-nucleotide ribosomal RNA is filed under the name uncultured bacterium. Its description in RNAcentral is "partial 16S ribosomal RNA". It matches the Rfam family "Bacterial small subunit ribosomal RNA", at positions 28 to 507 of the family's 1533-position model. The record is from RNAcentral.